AAAUCCGCUUUGAUAAUGCUGGGAUGUGAUGGGGAGCGAAAUUUAGUAGCGAAGUAGCUGAUUUCACACUGUCAAGAAAAGUCUCUAUCGAGGUUAAAGGUACCCGUACCGCAAACCGACACAGGUGGGUGAGGAGAGUAUCCUAAGGCCAGCGAGAGAACUGUUGUUAAGGAACUCGGCAAAAUGACCCCGUAACUUAGGGAUAAGGGGUGCCACCAUCAGGUGGCCGCAGAGAAUAGGCCCAAGCGACUGUUUACCAAAAACAUAGGUUUCUGCUAAGUCGCAAGACGAUGUAUAGGAGCUGACGCCUGCCCGGUGCUGGAAGGUUAAGGGGAUCUGUUAGAGCAAUCGAAGCAGUGAACUUAAGCCCCAGUAAACGGCGGCCGUAACUAUAACGGUCCUAAGGUAGCGAAAUUCCUUGUCGGGUAAGUUCCGACCCGCACGAAAGGCGUAACGAUUUGGGCACUGUCUCAACAACAGACUCGGUGAAAUUGUAAUUCCGGUGAAGAUGCCGGAUACCUGCGACAGGACGGAAAGACCCCAUGGAGCUUUACUGUAGCUUGACAUUGGGUCUUGGUACUACAUGUACAGGAUAGGUGGGAGGCUUUGAAACCAGGACGCCAGUUUUGGCGGAGCCAUCCUUGGGAUACCACCCUUGUAGUACUGGGACUCUAACCAUAGGCCAUGAAUCUGGUCUUGGGACACUGUCAGGUGGGCAGUUUGACUGGGGCGGUCGCCUCCCAAAAGGUAACGGAGGCGCUCAAAGGUUCUCUCAGUACGGUCGGAAAUCGUACGUAGAGUGUAAAGGCAAAAGAGAGCUUGAUUGCAAGACAUACAGGUCGAGCAAGGAUGAAAAUCGGACUUAGUGAUCCGGUGGUUCUGCGUGGAAGGGCCAUCGCUCAACGGAUAAAAGCUACCCUGGGGAUAACAGGCUUAUCUCCCCCAAGAGUCCACAUCGACGGGGAGGUUUGGCACCUCGAUGUCGGCUCAUCACAUCCUGGGGCUGUAGUAGGUCCCAAGGGUUGGGCUGUUCGCCCAUUAAAGUGGUACGCGAGCUGGGUUCAGAACGUCGUGAGACAGUUCGGUCCCUAUCCGUCGCAGGCGUAGGAAAUUUGAGAAG
This 1120-nucleotide ribosomal RNA is filed under the name Clostridioides difficile. RNAcentral describes it as "partial 23S ribosomal RNA". It matches the Rfam family "Bacterial large subunit ribosomal RNA", at positions 1538 to 2669 of the family's 2925-position model. Lineage: Bacteria; Bacillati; Bacillota; Clostridia; Peptostreptococcales; Peptostreptococcaceae. The record is from RNAcentral.